UGGGGAAUAUUGCACAAUGGGCGCAAGCCUGAUGCAGCGACGCCGCGUGGGGGAUGACGGCCUUCGGGUUGUAAACUUCUUUCGCUAGGGACGAAGCUUUUUGUGACGGUACCUAGAUAAGAAGCACCGGCUAACUACGUGCCAGCAGCCGCGGUAAUACGUAGGGUGCGAGCGUUGUCCGGAAUUACUGGGCGUAAAGGGCUCGUAGGUGGUUUGUCGCGUCGUCUGUGAAAUUCCGGGGCUUAACUCCGGGCGUGCAGGCGAUACGGGCAUAACUUGAGUACUGUAGGGGUAACUGGAAUUCCUGGUGUAGCGGUGAAAUGCGCAGAUAUCAGGGGGAACACCGAUGGCGAAGGCAGGUUACUGGGCAGUUACUGACGCUGAGGGGCGAAAGCAUGGGUAGCGAACAGG
Molecule: ribosomal RNA, 411 nt
Filed under: Actinomycetes bacterium
Lineage: Bacteria; Bacillati; Actinomycetota; Actinomycetes
Description: Actinobacteria bacterium partial 16S ribosomal RNA
Rfam family: Bacterial small subunit ribosomal RNA
Source: RNAcentral